Long non-coding RNA from Asparagus officinalis (garden asparagus), 733 nucleotides. RefSeq lists it as uncharacterized. NCBI's taxonomy places the organism in Eukaryota, Viridiplantae, Streptophyta, Magnoliopsida, Asparagales, Asparagaceae. The record is from RefSeq and is a predicted model, not a curated record. The transcript is spliced from 3 exons.
UUGCCCUGGGCAGCUGCCCAGGGCAAGAAAAUGAUUUUUUUUUAAUAUGUUUAAUAUUUUAAUUUUUUUGGCCACGUAUCAGCGCCCCACCCCUUUUAUUUCUCGGUUUUCUCCCGACUCCCCCUGUCCCCCAAAUCCCAAUAUUUCGAAACGAAGCGCAGAGAAUAGAAAAGGGGCCAAAAAAAAGCUAGGGCUUCGAGCCUUCGAGUCUCCGACGACCGCCCCCACUCUCCGAGACUCCGACGACCGCAAAUCCCCUCUCCGAGACUCCGUCGGCGACCGCAAAUCCCCUCUCCGAGAAGGCUUCGACAGUUCGACGAUCGCAAAUCCCCUCUCCGAAGACUCCGUCGACGACCGCGGACCGCCCCCACUCUCCGAGACUCCGACAGUCCGACGACCGCCCCCAGUCGCCUCCCAGAGCAAGCCCUCAACCAGUCGACGCCGAUCCCAAGCUCUCCGACGAGUGACGACGACCGCCCUGAGUCCACGACCAAGUCCUCGCCGGAAUCGACCUCCUCCUCGCCUCCCGGACUCAACAUUGAGAAGUACGUUCUUGCAAGCCAUUUGUGCGGGCCCUGCGGGGGACUAUGGGGUAAAAUUUUGAGUAUGCAAGGCAGAGGUUUCAACAAUACUGGUUGAAGAAGUUUGAUGCCCUGGAUUGCACAACGUUUUAGGCUCGACCUCGACUGAAUUUUCGCCCAGGGCAAACAAAAUUCCUGGCUACGCCACUGUC